RNAcentral lists this ribosomal RNA (253 nucleotides) under uncultured bacterium. RNAcentral describes it as "partial 16S ribosomal RNA". It matches the Rfam family "Bacterial small subunit ribosomal RNA", at positions 524 to 776 of the family's 1533-position model. The record is from RNAcentral.
GACAGAGGGUGCAAACGUUGUUCGGAAUUACUGGGCGUAAAGCGCGUGUAGGCUGCUCCGCAAGUCGGAUGUGAAAGCCCCGGGCUCAACCUGGGAAUUGCAUUUGAGACUGCUCUGCUCGGGUGCGGAAGAGGGAAGCGGAAUUUCCGGUGUAGCGGUGAAAUGCGUAGAUAUCGGAAGGAACACCAGUGGCGAAAGCGGCUUCCUGGUCCGACACCGACGUUCAGGCACGAAAGCGUGGGGAGCAAACAGG